CAUCUCACAUUCUGCGUCGACGCCGUCGCUGCUGCUGCGAGUAUCUUUUUCAACAAAUUCACAAAUUGUAUUUAUUCACUUGUCUCGUUCGUUUCGCUUUCGUCACAUUGCCCCUUUACAUGCUGCAUUGUGCCCGUUCGGCGGUGUUAUUUGUUAAACUAAUUAAUAAUUUAAAAUGCUAAUCGAGUUUUUCGUGUGUUAAACAAUCUUUAAAUUACAUUAGGUUUGUUGAAGAAUGCACUCAGUUGGAAUGAUUCGUUUGUGAAUAAGUGUAAAGUGAAUGCGUUUGCCAAAAAGAAAGUUAAUAAAGUGGAAAAGCCAAGUAGCUUCAUAGAUGAAGAAAGAAAACGGACGCAGCAGCAAAGUUAGUAGUGAGUGAGAAAGCCAUGUCGGUCUAUUAGUUAUUCGCUCGCAGUUCCGUUGCUUUUUCGGCUCGGUUUGAACGAGGCGAAGAAGAUCAGUGCAUUUGUGGCUAAAAUGUGUGUGUGCAUUGAUUGCAUGUGAAAAUAAAAUUCAUCGUAAAUAGUAAAUGCAAAGUGUAAACAAUAAAAUUGAAUCAAAUUAAAAUAGAAAAAAAAACUGACAAUAUUAACGCAAAAGUAAGAGAAGUUGUGUGCGAAACGUACGUGAAACAGUUCUUUAAGUAAACAGGUAAUAGAGCUGCGCGCUGCUUUGCAGCCGACAGCGCAACACCACUGCCGAACACCGCAGCGACAAAUAAUCUACCAUAAGCAACUGCGUUUGCAGCAGCAAAAAAGUAACAAAGAGCCCACUUUUUGUUUGCAGCUUCACCGCUGUCACUGUAUGCAUUUUUUCCGCUUAUAUUGUUUAUUGAUUGUUGUUGCCCUACCAAUGUUUGCCUUACGUCGCUGCAAUCAUGAAGUUGGCCAGCGCCGUUGUGCAUUGAAGCGCGUAGCAACCAAGCGUCCAGUGGCCACUUAAAAGCAGUAGUUAGUCUGCACACAAUCCAUAUAGCGCGGCGGCCAGCUGUGCAAGCACGAACAACAGCACUAACAACAAGCAACGGCUACUGCCUUUAUAUUUCUCGCUCAUCUUCCUAUAUGCGCAUAGUAUGUACAUGAAGGCGCAGGCGCAACAGGCGAAAGUUUCAUGCCAGUACCAAUUGCUAGAGCCACCAUCAUCGCUAUUGACUGUUUCUUCUGACUGGCUGGCUGUUUGAUCGGUGCACAGGUGUUUCACACAAUUCUUUGUAUACAUAUGUAUGUAUGUAGAUAAGAAAUACCAGUGUAAACAAGUGAACAACAAAGCGAAGCAAACUCGAAAUGAAAUAAUGAAAAUUAGUAGGGCUGAUUACGAGUAUUAACUGUUGGAAAAAAAACAAAAGCUGUGUUGCAAGGAUAACACUUCAAAACACGCCGAAUAACAUUUACAAACUCACCAUUCAAGCUAAGAUGUGAUAAUAAAUACUCAACACAACCAGCCCCUCCAUAUCGAACUUCGAUACUAUUCGCUCACUCACAAGGUAUGUUAUCACUGCUAAAUAAAUUAUUAUGUAAGCUUUUGGGGUUAAAUAAUGUCGUGGUGUUAUCUUAAGUGUAAAUAAAUGCGAUUAAUUUUUUUUUGAUUCGCUUCAAUAGCUUUAAGGCAUUUCAACUGUCAUAGCUACAAGUGGCGCAACCCUCUACAGCGCAGGCAAACGAAGGCGAAGGCUUAAAAGAGCUAAGCUUUGCCUUUAUAAACAACUUUUGCGAACUUUAAAUGAAUUACUACUACAUACAUACAUAUGUACAUACAUAUAUUUAAAUUUAAAUUCUAAGUAAAUCAUGAGUACAAAUAGGAUUUCUAUGGUCAAAAGUAUUGCAAAAAAGUAACUAAUCUCCUGCUGCGGUGUUUUGUGUUUGCAGCAGCAUCCAUUCAGUGACCGUAACAAAAAGGCAUAAAAAAUAAGCUAAAAUAAAAUGAAAAAAUAUAUUUGCGACGUGACUUUGUUAGCAAAGGCCACCAGCGACGCUUUAGAAUUCCCCUGCACGGCGCUUGCGCUCACUGAAUCUGGCUUACAGUCAUCCAGUUGCUGCCGCUUCGCAAGCAGUAGGUGAGUUUGUUCAAAA
Long non-coding RNA from Anastrepha ludens (Mexican fruit fly), 2069 nucleotides. RefSeq lists it as uncharacterized. Lineage: Eukaryota; Metazoa; Arthropoda; Insecta; Diptera; Tephritidae. The record is from RefSeq and is a predicted model, not a curated record. The transcript is spliced from 3 exons.